AUUGAACGCUGGCGGCAUGCUUUACACAUGCAAGUCGAACGGUAACAGGUCUUCGGAUGCUGACGAGUGGCGAACGGGUGAGUAAUACAUCGGAACGUGCCUAGUAGUGGGGGAUAACUACUCGAAAGAGUAGCUAAUACCGAAUGAGAUCUACGGAUGAAAGCAGGGGACCUUCGGGCCUUGUGCUACUAGAGCGGCUGAUGGCAGAUUAGGUAGUUGGUGGGGUAAAGGCUUACCAAGCCUGCGAUCUGUAGCUGGUCUGAGAGGACGACCAGCCACACUGGGACUGAGACACGGCCCAGACUCCUACGGGAGGCAGCAGUGGGGAAUUUUGGACAAUGGGCGAAAGCCUGAUCCAGCAAUGCCGCGUGCAGGAUGAAGGCCCUCGGGUUGUAAACUGCUUUUGUACGGAACGAAAAGCCUGGGGCUAAUAUCCCCGGGUCAUGACGGUACCGUAAGAAUAAGCACCGGCUAACUACGUGCCAGCAGCCGCGGUAAUACGUAGGGUGCAAGCGUUAAUCGGAAUUACUGGGCGUAAAGCGUGCGCAGGCGGUUUUGUAAGACAGUGGUGAAAUCCCCGGGCUCAACCUGGGAACUGCCAUUGUGACUGCAAGGCUAGAGUGCGGCAGAGGGGGAUGGAAUUCCGCGUGUAGCAGUGAAAUGCGUAGAUAUGCGGAGGAACACCGAUGGCGAAGGCAAUCCCCUGGGCCUGCACUGACGCUCAUGCUCGAAAGCGUGGGGAGCGAACAGGAUUAGAUACCCUGGUAGUCCACGCCCUAAACGAUGAGUGAUAAGUGUUGGAGGGUUUCCGCCCUUCAGUGCUGCAGCAAACGCAUUAAGCACUCCGCCUGGGGAGUACGACCGCAAGGUUGAAACUCAAAGGAAUUGACGGGGGCCCGCACAAGCGGUGGAGCAUGUGGUUUAAUUCGAAGCAACGCGAAGAACCUUACCAGGUCUUGACAUCCUUUGACCACUCUAGAGAUAGAGCUUCCCCUUCGGGGGCAAAGUGACAGGUGGUGCAUGGUUGUCGUCAGCUCGUGUCGUGAGAUGUUGGGUUAAGUCCCGCAACGAGCGCAACCCUUAUUGUUAGUUGCCAUCAUUUAGUUGGGCACUCUAGCGAGACUGCCGGUGACAAACCGGAGGAAGGUGGGGAUGACGUCAAAUCAUCAUGCCCCUUAUGACCUGGGCUACACACGUGCUACAAUGGGAAGUACAACGAGUUGCGAAGUCGCGAGGCUAAGCUAAUCUCUUAAAGCUUCUCUCAGUUCGGAUUGUAGGCUGCAACUCGCCUACAUGAAGCCGGAAUCGCUAGUAAUCGCGGAUCAGCACGCCGCGGUGAAUACGUUCCCGGGCCU
RNAcentral lists this ribosomal RNA (1355 nucleotides) under uncultured bacterium. RNAcentral describes it as "partial 16S ribosomal RNA". It matches the Rfam family "Bacterial small subunit ribosomal RNA", at positions 28 to 1381 of the family's 1533-position model. The record is from RNAcentral.